This 288-nucleotide ribosomal RNA is filed under the name uncultured archaeon. RNAcentral describes it as "partial 16S rRNA". It matches the Rfam family "Archaeal small subunit ribosomal RNA", at positions 339 to 631 of the family's 1478-position model. The record is from RNAcentral.
GCGCGAAAAGUUUACAAUGCGGGAAACCGUGAUAAGGGAACUCCGAGUGCCCGUAAAAUCGGGCUGUCCAUCUGUUUAAAUAACAGGUGAAGAAAGGGCCGGGCAAGACCGGUGCCAGCCGCCGCGGUAAUACCGGCGGCUCGAGUGGUGGCCACUAUUACUGGGCUUAAAGCGUUCGUAGCUGGUCUGUUAAGUCUCUGGGGAAAUCUACUGGCUUAACCAAUAGGCGUUUCAGGGAUACUGGCAGACUAGGGACCGGGAGAGGUGAGAGGUACUCCAGGGGUAGGA